GCCCGGGUGGUCUAGUGGUAUGAUUCUCGCUUAGGGAUGGCAUCUCGCCUACAAACCCAAGCAUAUCUGCGAGAGGUCCCGCGUUCGAUCCGCGGCUCGGGCC
Molecule: transfer RNA, 103 nt
Filed under: Aspergillus carbonarius ITEM 5010
Lineage: Eukaryota; Fungi; Ascomycota; Eurotiomycetes; Eurotiales; Aspergillaceae
Also listed under: 2 other names
Description: tRNA-Pro
Source: RNAcentral